This 781-nucleotide ribosomal RNA is filed under the name Pseudomonas sp. G3C-21. RNAcentral's name for it is "bacterial SSU rRNA". It matches the Rfam family "Bacterial small subunit ribosomal RNA", at positions 97 to 873 of the family's 1533-position model. The record is from RNAcentral. Lineage: Bacteria; Pseudomonadati; Pseudomonadota; Gammaproteobacteria; Pseudomonadales; Pseudomonadaceae.
GGCGGACGGGUGAGUAAUACCUAGGAAUCUGCCUGAUAGUGGGGGAUAACGUUCGGAAACGGACGCUAAUACCGCAUACGUCCUACGGGAGAAAGCAGGGGACCUUCGGGCCUUGCGCUAUCAGAUGAGCCUAGGUCGGAUUAGCUAGUUGGUGAGGUAAUGGCUCACCAAGGCUACGAUCCGUAACUGGUCUGAGAGGAUGAUCAGUCACACUGGAACUGAGACACGGUCCAGACUCCUACGGGAGGCAGCAGUGGGGAAUAUUGGACAAUGGGCGAAAGCCUGAUCCAGCCAUGCCGCGUGUGUGAAGAAGGUCUUCGGAUUGUAAAGCACUUUAAGUUGGGAGGAAGGGCAUUAACCUAAUACGUUAGUGUUUUGACGUUACCGACAGAAUAAGCACCGGCUAACUCUGUGCCAGCAGCCGCGGUAAUACAGAGGGUGCAAGCGUUAAUCGGAAUUACUGGGCGUAAAGCGCGCGUAGGUGGUUUGUUAAGUUGAAUGUGAAAUCCCCGGGCUCAACCUGGGAACUGCAUCCAAAACUGGCAAGCUAGAGUAUGGUAGAGGGUAGUGGAAUUUCCUGUGUAGCGGUGAAAUGCGUAGAUAUAGGAAGGAACACCAGUGGCGAAGGCGACUACCUGGACUGAUACUGACACUGAGGUGCGAAAAGCGUGGGGAGCAAACAGGAUUAGAUACCCUGGUAGUCCACGCCGUAAACGAUGUCAACUAGCCGUUGGGAGUCUUGAACUCUUAGUGGCGCAGCUAACGCAUUAAGUUGACCGCC